CACACAGAAAAACACGGAACAUGACAAGCAGUGAUCCCGGGGUUGGGAGGCGUUCACUGUCCCAAAAAUAAGCAGAUGUAAACAUUUUCACAGUUCGACUUUUACAAAUAUUACUAGUUCUGAGUAAACCUAGGGUUCUCAAACUUCAUGUUCAAACAUCCAAACUGGAUAUUGAGGAAAAGGUCCGGAACAACUGGUGAUGAGCAAAUCACUUCUAUUAUUUUCUUACGACCCGCUGAUCAAAUGUAUGUUUUUUAAUGGUGAGAACUGAUAAGUUUUUGACCUUAAGCUGCUCUAAUGUCUGACAGUGAACUGAAAUGUAAUUGAUUAAAAGGGGAAGUAUCAUGUAAAAUUGACUGAGCUUUACAUCAUAUUAUAAUGAUCAAAACAAAAACAUAUCUGGAGUGUUGGUUUCAUUCUUUGACGCAUGCUUGAGAAAUCCUUUGAACUCCAUGGCAACUGGUCAGCUGUUCAACAUGCCUGGGUAGACCUUAGCUCCGCCUACGAGGACAAAGCUCCUCCUCAGAGCUGCAGCUUCCAAGCUUCCCGAUCACAGAGCAGCCCCCCCACUCAGAUCCUUCAGCCUAGCCAGCAGCAAUUAGCAAACACCUGCUGUAACUGUGCAUACUGAGCUCGUUAUAAGUGUUACUUCUCAGUGCAAAGCUGGUAAAAUGUUGUUAUAGGGCUAACUGAGGAGUGACGUGAUGACUUCCUGAAAGCGGAGUUUCAGAAAGACUUUAAAAAAACGGAGUACCAAUUUCAAGGUUUUAAAUUAUGAAGUCAAAUUUCUUAUAAGUCAUACGUCAUAUAUGUAGCAUUUUUAUAACAACUGAAGUUAACAGUUAUGUGAUUGUGCUAUAAAUUGGCACUAGGUGCCUGUGAAACAUUGUUCCUUUAAGACAUUUCUGUUUCACCUUGAUCAACUUAAUCACUUUUUAUUCGCUUACUGCAAAUUCAGAGUAAAAACCACUUGGUGCUUCUGAUUUCCUGAACUAAACCAUUUCACCUCCAUUGAGUCAGACUUUAUUGUAUCUUAAAGAGGUUUUAAUUAUGAGUACUCUGCGCCUAAAGCAAGUCUUGCGGAGUUGUUCUUUUUUUUCAGUUUUAUUUCUCAGUUUCUGUUCUUUUCUUGCAAUUGUAUUAUGAUGUGUUUCUAAAAAUACAAGAUAAUAAUAAUAAUAAUAAUAAUAAUGAUCACAUGGCGUAAAACAGCAUCUGGAACUGAUGACUUUAAGACAUACGAAGUAAAGAAAGUUAAAGUUUUUCUGGAAUCACAUCAUUUGUGCUAAAACUUUACUUUCCCAUCUUUUGGCUCUUUUAUUUUUUUUUUUUUACAGAAGAAAUUGAAACAAAUUGUCUUUGUGACAGGCUGCUGAUAAUAAAGUGCUAAAGAUCUUUUUUUUAUUAUUAUUAUUUUAACUGGUUUUCUGUGUGUGUGUAUUCUCAACAUUAGUGACUCUCUUCAGAUUUGCAACCUUUUUUCUGUCAGUGAUCUCCAGGUCAAAAGCCCUCAGACCCUGCAGCGCAUGCAUACAGACACACGUCGAUGUGCAGAGAGACGUAAAAUUACAAAACCCCAGGAAGACAAAAAGAGAAGUCUGUGUGGACUCACUGUGGUUUAACGCUAAAAAAGCAAACCCGUCAAAACCUGUGGUCACUGAUCGCACAAACGCGCUUUUGGUGCACCAGCAAAUCCUCUCAGCACAUCAGCAGCAGCUUGCAGAGCGACUGGACCUUAAACUUUAAAAGAACAAAAAAAAAACAAACAAACUGAUUUUACUUUUGCUUUAAGAUUCUCAAAACUCCCAGCAUUGAGUGAGAACUCAGCUUUGAGUUCAAUCGUCCGUUUUAACACAUCGUCACAGUGAGUCACAGCUCCCCAUAAAUAAUUAAGAGUUAAUACGAUGCCACUUAAACUUGACACCUUUUGAUGUCAGAGCUCUUCACAGCCUUUGCAGCAGCGUCAGAGAAAGGAGGGGAAAAAGAGGAACGCAAGGCAGAGAGUGCAGCCGCUUUGUGAUCGGCUGAUUCUCCCCCGUGACACAGCAGCCGGGGAGGAGGCGACUCCGGCUCCAUGGCCUCCCUGUUCACCCAACUCGAGGUGUGGACCAUCAUGUUCUCCAUCCUGGUUUUUGCGCUCUUCACACUCGCUGGGAUGAUCAGCGAGGAAUGUCCGCACACUGAAGAAACUACUGACAGAACCCAGAGUCAGGAGAUGUCGGUGUGACUCAUCUGCUAAUGCUCAGCUUGUGAGAAAAACUCAGCCUGUUCCUGUCCCAGUGUAACCUGCUUCUUCCAGGAUGAGGCACAAAGGAGUGGCCAAAUUGUUCAACUAAAAAAUGCAAUAAAGAGACACCUGCUGAAACAAAGUGGCUCACAACAGCAUCACCUGGCCGCUCGCCCUGCAGGAUGUCCAGAGACAGCACCGGGAGAUUCCUCUGUGAACUUUGAACCUGGAAAACAGACCGUGUGUCUCUCCCAUCA
Long non-coding RNA from Xiphophorus hellerii (green swordtail), 2484 nucleotides. RefSeq lists it as uncharacterized. The transcript is spliced from 4 exons. The record is from RefSeq and is a predicted model, not a curated record. Lineage: Eukaryota; Metazoa; Chordata; Actinopteri; Cyprinodontiformes; Poeciliidae.